RNAcentral lists this ribosomal RNA (466 nucleotides) under uncultured bacterium. RNAcentral describes it as "partial 16S ribosomal RNA". It matches the Rfam family "Bacterial small subunit ribosomal RNA", at positions 28 to 507 of the family's 1533-position model. The record is from RNAcentral.
GACGAACGCUGGCGGCGUGCUUAACACAUGCAAGUCGUGCGGUAAGGCCCUUUCGGGGGUACACGAGCGGCGAACGGGUGAGUAACACGUGAGCAACCUGCCCUUCACUUUGGGAUAACUGCCGGAAACGGUGGCUAAUACCGGAUAUGACUUCCUCGCGCAUGUGGGGUGGUGGAAAGCCUUCGGGUGGUGGGGGAUGGGCUCGCGGUCUAUCAGCUUGUUGGUGGGGUGAUGGCCUACCAAGGCUUCGACGGGUAGCCGGCCUGAGAGGGUGACCGGCAACACUGGGACUGAGACACGGCCCAGACUCCUACGGGAGGCAGCAGUGGGGAAUAUUGGACAAUGGGCGAAAGCCUGAUCCAGCAACGACGCGUGAGGGAUGACGGCCUUCGGGUUGUAAACCUCUUUCGCCUGCGACGAAGAGAGAGUGACGGUAGCAGGUAAAGAAGCACCGGCCAACUACGUG